Molecule: ribosomal RNA, 465 nt
Filed under: uncultured bacterium
Lineage: Bacteria
Description: partial 16S ribosomal RNA
Rfam family: Bacterial small subunit ribosomal RNA
Source: RNAcentral
GACGAACGCUGGCGGCGUGCUUAACACAUGCAAGUCGAACGGAAAGGCCCCUUUGGGGGUACUCGAGUGGCGAACGGGUGAGUAACACGUAAGUAACCUGCCCUUGACUUCGGGAUAACUUCAGGAAACUGGGGCUAAUACCGGAUAGGAAUCCUUGCUGCAUGGUGGGGGUUGGAAAGCUUCGGCGGUUUUGGAUGGACUCGCGGCUUAUCAGCUUGUUGGUGGGGUAGUGGCUUACCAAGGCUUUGACGGGUAGCCGGCCUGAGAGGGCGACCGGCCACAUUGGGACUGAGAGACGGCCCAGACUCCCACGGGAGGCAGCAGGGGGGAAUAUUGCACAAUGGGCGGAAGCCUGAUGCAGCAACGCCGCGGGCGGGAUGACGGCCUUCGGGUUGUAAACCGCUUUCAGCAGGGGCGAAGCUUGUGGUGACGGUACCUGCAGAAGAAGCACCGGCUAACUACGUG